Molecule: ribosomal RNA, 550 nt
Filed under: uncultured bacterium
Lineage: Bacteria
Description: bacterial SSU rRNA
Rfam family: Bacterial small subunit ribosomal RNA
Source: RNAcentral
AGGGAAUAGAUACCCGGGUAGUCCACGCCGUAAACUAUGGAUGCUAGCUGUUGGCCGUAUCGACCCGGUCAGUAGCGAAAGCUAAACGCGUUAAGCAUCCCGCCUGUGGAGUACGGUCGCAAGACUAAAACAUAAAGGAAUUGACGGGGACCCGCACAAGCGGUGGAGCGUGUUGUUUAAAUUCGAUGCUAAGCGAAGAACCUUACCCAGGUUUGACAUCUUCGGAAUUACUACGAAAGUAGUGAGUGCCUUCGGGAACCGAAUGACAGGUGAUGCAUGGCCGUCGUCAGCUCGUGUCGUGAGAUGUUUGGUUGAGUCCAUCAACGAGCGCAACCCUUAUGAAUAGUUGUAUUUUUCUAUUCAGACUGCCUCGGUAACGGGGAGGAAGGAGGGGAUGAGGUCAGGUCAGUAUUUCCCUUACAUCUGGGGGCUACAAACACGCUACAAUGGCCGGUACAAAGGGCAGCCAACCCGCGAGGGGGGCAAAUCCCAUCAAAGCCGGUCUCAGUUCGGAUUGCAGGCUGAAACUCGCCUGCAUGAAGCUGGAAUC